AUUGAACGCUGGCGGCAGGCCUAACACAUGCAAGUCGAACGGUAACAGGAAGAAGCUUGCUUCUUUGCUGACGAGUGGCGGACGGGUGAGUAAUGUCUGGGAAACUGCCUGAUGGAGGGGGAUAACUACUGGAAACGGUAGCUAAUACCGCAUAACGUCGCAAGACCAAAGAGGGGGACCUUCGGGCCUCUUGCCAUCGGAUGUGCCCAGAUGGGAUUAGCUAGUAGGUGGGGUAACGGCUCACCUAGGCGACGAACCCUAGCUGGUCUGAGAGGAUGACCAGCCACACUGGAACUGAGACACGGUCCAGACUCCUACGGGAGGCAGCAGUGGGGAAUAUUGCACAAUGGGCGCAAGCCUGAUGCAGCCAUGCCGCGUGUAUGAAGAAGGCCUUCGGGUUGUAAAGUACUUUCAGCGGGGAGGAAGGGAGUAAAGUUAAUACCUUUACUCAUUGACGUUACCCGCAGAAGAAGCACCGGCUAACUCCGUG
RNAcentral lists this ribosomal RNA (490 nucleotides) under uncultured bacterium. RNAcentral describes it as "partial 16S ribosomal RNA". It matches the Rfam family "Bacterial small subunit ribosomal RNA", at positions 30 to 507 of the family's 1533-position model. The record is from RNAcentral.